RNAcentral lists this ribosomal RNA (1434 nucleotides) under uncultured organism. RNAcentral's name for it is "16S ribosomal RNA". It matches the Rfam family "Bacterial small subunit ribosomal RNA". The record is from RNAcentral.
CUAGCUACAGGCUUAACACAUGCAAGUCGAGGGGCAGCAUGGUCUUAGCUUGCUAAGGCCGAUGGCGACCGGCGCACGGGUGAGUAACACGUAUCCAACCUGCCGUCUACUCUUGGACAGCCUUCUGAAAGGAAGAUUAAUACAAGAUGGCAUCAUGAGUCCACAUGUUCACAUGAUUAAAGGUAUUCCGGUAGACGAUGGGGAUGCGUUCCAUUAGAUAGUAGGCGGGGUAACGGCCCACCUAGUCUUCGAUGGAUAGGGGUUCUGAGAGGAAGGUCCCCCACAUUGGAACUGAGACACGGUCCAAACUCCUACGGGAGGCAGCAGUGAGGAAUAUUGGUCAAUGGGCGAGAGCCUGAACCAGCCAAGUAGCGUGAAGGAUGACUGCCCUAUGGGUUGUAAACUUCUUUUAUAAAGGAAUAAAGUCGGGUAUGGAUACCCGUUUGCAUGUACUUUAUGAAUAAGGAUCGGCUAACUCCGUGCCAGCAGCCGCGGUAAUACGGAGGAUCCGAGCGUUAUCCGGAUUUAUUGGGUUUAAAGGGAGCGUAGAUGGAUGUUUAAGUCAGUUGUGAAAGUUUGCGGCUCAACCGUAAAAUUGCAGUUGAUACUGGAUAUCUUGAGUGCAGUUGAGGCAGGCGGAAUUCGUGGUGUAGCGGUGAAAUGCUUAGAUAUCACGAAGAACUCCGAUUGCGAAGGCAGCCUGCUAAGCUGCAACUGACAUUGAGGCUCGAAAGUGUGGGUAUCAAACAGGAUUAGAUACCCUGGUAGUCCACACGGUAAACGAUGAAUACUCGCUGUUUGCGAUAUACAGCAAGCGGCCAAGCGAAAGCGUUAAGUAUUCCACCUGGGGAGUACGCCGGCAACGGUGAAACUCAAAGGAAUUGACGGGGGCCCGCACAAGCGGAGGAACAUGUGGUUUAAUUCGAUGAUACGCGAGGAACCUUACCCGGGCUUAAAUUGCAGAUGAAUUACGGUGAAAGCCGUAAGCCGCAAGGCAUCUGUGAAGGUGCUGCAUGGUUGUCGUCAGCUCGUGCCGUGAGGUGUCGGCUUAAGUGCCAUAACGAGCGCAACCCUUGUUGUCAGUUACUAACAGGUUCCGCUGAGGACUCUGACAAGACUGCCAUCGUAAGAUGUGAGGAAGGUGGGGAUGACGUCAAAUCAGCACGGCCCUUACGUCCGGGGCUACACACGUGUUACAAUGGGGGGUACAGAGGGCCGCUACCACGCGAGUGGAUGCCAAUCCCAAAAACCUCUCUCAGUUCGGACUGGAGUCUGCAACCCGACUCCACGAAGCUGGAUUCGCUAGUAAUCGCGCAUCAGCCACGGCGCGGUGAAUACGUUCCCGGGCCUUGUACACACCGCCCGUCAAGCCAUGGGAGCCGGGGGUACCUGAAGUGCGUAACCGCGAGGAGCGCCCUAGGGUAAAACUGGUGA